Molecule: long non-coding RNA, 564 nt
Filed under: Vigna radiata
Lineage: Eukaryota; Viridiplantae; Streptophyta; Magnoliopsida; Fabales; Fabaceae
Description: long non-coding RNA (VRAD_LNC003719)
Source: RNAcentral
GGAAGUUAUUUCUUUUAAAAAAAAUUAACUUUUGGAUCUGAAAAGGGAAAAAUGAAAGAAAAGUUAUAGAGGUGCAAAAUAAAAGUUAAGGCGGUGGAGGAAGAAACUGCCCACUUUCUGUUUGGUUGGUACGUGCUUCGGACUAAUAUUUUUCCUGCAGCACCCCAAUUCUUCCCUACACCUCAUUUGAUUUUCUUUACAGAAAUACCCUUUAACUUUUACAUUUUUAAAACCCUAAUCUCUUGUUUCCCUCUUACAUCCUUUCUAUUUUCCUCUUUCGCACAUUUUCCUUUCUGAUUAGAGUAUCAUUGUGCUUUCUCCAUUUCACUCUUUUACGUACUUUGGUUCGUCAUUUUUGUUUAGUUUAUUUCGUCUUCAAAUUCGUUGGUUCAUUUUCUUGUAUAUUCUCCUUUUCAAUCUUUUCGAUUCAUGUUAUUAAUGUUUAUUUGAUGUUUGUUUGCAUGUGAUGUUCUCGUAUGUAUAUUUAGUUACAGGAUGAAUCUGUGAACAUAUACAUAAUCAUUGUAUUAUGAUUUGAUGUGAUUAAUUUGUAAAAGAAAACGU